AUUUAACAUUAGUUACGAUAAUGUAAAAUCAUGAAUUCGUUAUUACGCCGUAAAUAUUUGUCCGUUUGUUCCUACAUUUUUUCCCAAUAAUUAUGAAAACCUGCUUGCAAAAUCAAAAAGUGACUUCCUUAAAGACAAUUUUCGAAAUCUGAGGUCUGAAAACUAAAUUUUCGGUUUUUAAAUUCAAAAUCCAGAUUUUCGGAUAAUCCGAAUUUAUAUCACAUCACUAGCAACCACAAAAAUUAUACCUCACUACUUUCUCUUUACCUAAACUAAAAAGUGUAAUAUCUCGUUGACUAGUUGAAGAAAACCAAAAGUGGCGACACCAAAACUUAUUUAAAGUAAU
Non-coding RNA from Cinara cedri, 346 nucleotides. The record is from the annotation of a GenBank genome assembly. Lineage: Eukaryota; Metazoa; Arthropoda; Insecta; Hemiptera; Aphididae.